GGCGAGGGGAGUGAAAAAGAACCUGAAACCGUGUACGUACAAGCAGUGGGAGCACAGGUUUACCUGUGUGACUGCGUACCUUUUGUAUAAUGGGUCAGCGACUUAUAUUCUGUAGCAAGGUUAACCGUAUAGGGGAGCCGGAGGGAAACCGAGUCUUAACCGGGCGUUAAGUUGCAGGGUAUAGACCCGAAACCCGGUGAUCUAGCCAUGGGCAGGUUGAAGGUUGGGUAACACUAACUGGAGGACCGAACCGACUAAUGUUGAAAAAUUAGCGGAUGACCUGUGGCUGGGGGUGAAAGGCCAAUCAAACCGGGAGAUAGCUGGUUCUCCCCGAAAGCUAUUUAGGUAGCGCCUCGUGAAUUCAUCUCCGGGGGUAGAGCACUGUUUCGGCUAGGGGGCCAUCCCGGCUUACCAACCCGAUGCAAACUGCGAAUACCGGAGAAUGUUAUCACGGGAGACACACGGCGGGUGCUAACGUCCGUCGUGAAGAGGGAAACAACCCAGACCGCCAGCUAAGGUCCCAAAGUCAUGGUUAAGUGGGAAACGAUGUGGGAAGGCCCAGACAGCCAGGAUGUUGGCUUAGAAGCAGCCAUCAUUUAAAGAAAGCGUAAUAGCUCACUGGUCGAGUCGGCCUGCGCGGAAGAUGUAACGGGGCUAAACCAUGCACCGAAGCUGCGGCAGCGAACGUAUCACCCAAGACAACUUUACGGAGUUGACGAUUGACGGAGCGAAGCGACGUCAAAGCGUUCAUUAAAGUCGAGUUGGCUUAGGGAUACGUUCGUUGGGUAGGGGAGCGUUCUGUAAGCCUGUGAAGGUGGCCUGUGAGGGUUGCUGGAGGUAUCAGAAGUGCGAAUGCUGACAUAAGUAACGAUAAAGCGGGUGAAAAGCCCGCUCGCCGGAAGACCAAGGGUUCCUGUCCAACGUUAAUCGGGGCAGGGUGAGUCGACCCCUAAGGCGAGGCCGAAAGGCGUAGUCGAUGGGAAACGGGUUAAUAUUCCCGUACUUGGUGUUACUGCGAAGGGGGGACGGAGAAGGCUAUGUUGGCCGGGCGACGGUUGUCCCGGUUUAAGCGUGUAGGUGUGUGUUCCAGGUAAAUCCGGUUCACUUUAACACUGAGGCGUGAUGACGAGGCACUACGGUGCUGAAGCAACAAAUGCCCUGCUUCCAGGAAAAGCCUCUAAGCAUCAGGUAACAUCAAAUCGUACCCCAAACCGACACAGGUGGUCAGGUAGAGAAUACCAAGGCGCUUGAGAGAACUCGGGUGAAGGAACUAGGCAAAAUGGUGCCGUAACUUCGGGAGAAGGCACGCUGACACGUAGGUGAAGUGAUUUACUCAUGGAGCUGAAGUCAGUCGAAGAUACCAGCUGGCUGCAACUGUUUAUUAAAAACACAGCACUGUGCAAACACGAAAGUGGACGUAUACGGUGUGACGCCUGCCCGGUGCCGGAAGGUUAAUUGAUGGGG
RNAcentral lists this ribosomal RNA (1464 nucleotides) under Salmonella enterica subsp. enterica serovar Derby. RNAcentral describes it as "partial 23S ribosomal RNA". It matches the Rfam family "Bacterial large subunit ribosomal RNA", at positions 528 to 1889 of the family's 2925-position model. The record is from RNAcentral. Lineage: Bacteria; Pseudomonadati; Pseudomonadota; Gammaproteobacteria; Enterobacterales; Enterobacteriaceae.